RNAcentral lists this transfer RNA (84 nucleotides) under Penicillium salamii. Its description in RNAcentral is "tRNA-Arg". The stretch from base 6 to 77 matches the Rfam family "tRNA". From Rfam's summary of the family: Transfer RNA (tRNA) molecules are approximately 80 nucleotides in length. Their secondary structure includes four short double-helical elements and three loops (D, anti-codon, and T loops). The record is from RNAcentral. Lineage: Eukaryota; Fungi; Ascomycota; Eurotiomycetes; Eurotiales; Aspergillaceae.
UUUAAGCUUUUAUAGUUCAAUUGGUAGAACAAAGACCUUCUAAGUCUUAUAUUAUGGUUCGAUUCCAUAUAAAAGUAUAAUCUA